UACGAAGGGGGGCUAGCGUUGCUCGGAAUCACUGGGCGUAAAGCGCACGUAGGCGGACUCUUAAGUCAGGGGUGAAAUCCUGGAGCUCAACUCCAGAACUGCCUUUGAUACUGACGAUCUCGAGUCCGGGAGAGGUGAGUGGAACUGCGAGUGUAGAGGUGAAAUUCGUAGAUAUUCGCAAGAACACCAGUGGCGAAGGCGGCUCACUGGCCCGGUACUGACGCUGAGGUGCGAAAGCGUGGGGAGCAAACAG
This 253-nucleotide ribosomal RNA is filed under the name uncultured bacterium. RNAcentral's name for it is "partial 16S ribosomal RNA". It matches the Rfam family "Bacterial small subunit ribosomal RNA", at positions 524 to 775 of the family's 1533-position model. The record is from RNAcentral.